RNAcentral lists this microRNA (19 nucleotides) under Eptesicus fuscus (big brown bat). RNAcentral's name for it is "efu-miR-9351". The record is from miRBase by way of RNAcentral. Lineage: Eukaryota; Metazoa; Chordata; Mammalia; Chiroptera; Vespertilionidae.
UUCUUGGCUGACUCCCUGA